Molecule: ribosomal RNA, 230 nt
Filed under: uncultured bacterium
Lineage: Bacteria
Description: partial 16S ribosomal RNA
Rfam family: Bacterial small subunit ribosomal RNA
Source: RNAcentral
UGAGCAAUCUGCCCUUCUCUUCGGAAUAAGCGUUGGAAACGACGUCUAAUGCCGAAUACGACCUCCUUUCGCAUGAUCGGAGGUGGAAAGCUCCGGCGGAGAAGGAUGAGCUCGCGGCCUAUCAGCUAGUUGGUGUGGGUAAUGGCCCACCAAGGCGACGACGGGUAGCCGGCCUGAGAGGAUGAUCAGCCACACCGGGACUGAGACACGGCCCAGACUCCGUAGGGAGG